Molecule: long non-coding RNA, 1171 nt
Organism: Corapipo altera (White-ruffed manakin)
Lineage: Eukaryota; Metazoa; Chordata; Aves; Passeriformes; Pipridae
Exons: 3
Source: RefSeq, a predicted model, not a curated record
GAGGGGUGUUGAAGGGAAAGGGGAGAUCACUGAGAAGGACCUCUCUGGGUUGACUUUGUUCAGGACACCCAGAGUAGCCACGGAAGGCACAGCUUUGUGAAUUUAUACGCUGCAACCAGAAUGAUGUUCACCCUCACUUACCAACCAAGGGCUCAGUUUGCUGUUGGCUGUGAUGCACUGCACUCCUGCAGCAAGCUGAGGAAUUGGCUUCCAGUGCCACCCAUCUGCUAAGAUGGGCUCUGUGGCUCCUGACCAGCUGCCAGUUUAAUUUUUGGAAGAGGAGACCAGAAUCUGUCUCAACAGGAGGGUGAGGAGUGACAGCACUUGUGCUGGUGUGACAGUGAAGCUCCCUCUGUGACGCACCAGGUGAGCAGAAAGCAGCACCCACGCUGACAGACACACCACUGGAGGGGAGGUGGAACAAGCUCUCCUACUUUGGGAUGUCAGCCCGGGUCUACUCAGAGACCAGCUGCACGGCAACACAGGAAACUGCUCUGACAGUACAGCUAAACCAACCCUAUUCCCCAAGGAAGCCACAGCCAAGUCCCCAAAUGCAGAGAUCCCAAGAGCCAGGGCAGUAGGAACUGCCUGUCUUGCAUUCCUACCUACAUGACACAAACCUGAACUACCACGGCCCCAAAUUCUCCAGCCACAGCGAGGCCUCAGAAGACAAUGAAGACAAUCACUGCACUUGAAGCAGAAACUUGGCUGUGCAGCAUUUCCAGCUUUACUUAAUACUCAGCACAGGUGGGAAUAACGGAGCACGUCGGAUGAAAAAGCUCAGGAGGAGACAAAGAGACUUUGGAACACAGCACAAUGCACAACAGAGGAACAUCCUUCAGAGAACUGAUGGGCUCAAUCUGGAUAUAAAGCCUCACUGUCCUAGUGACUCCUUGAUAAAUAAGAAAAUGUCAUGCUUUUAUUUUAUAAAGGUGAAGUUCAGGGCAAGACAGUUCGUACCCCAGCUGCAAUUUUCCUAAGUUCAGGACCAGUUUGGUUAAGGAUAUCUCUGUUUCUGCAUGUCUUUGAUUGGCACAAAGGAGGAGAAAGAAGACCCCACUGCCCCCAUGCUCUGGCACUGCAGGACCUGUGUGCACACACAGAAACAAGUGAAGGAAACCUGCAGGCAGAUCCACUGGUGAAUCAAGACAAAUCCUGGCUCUCUGGGAAA